AUGGGAAAGAAACCUGGAAAGGUAGGGAGUACCCUUGGCUGUGUACAUUUGAGUAAAGAGAGCACUAUAAAAUCAAAAACCAAUGAAAUGGUUUCCAGAACACAGAACUAUUAAGCUUAAGAAAAGGACAGAAGGAACUGAAGAGAGAGGAACUGUUUUGGAGCAUCACACUUCCACCUCAGAAGAAAUAAGGAAGGAAGGAGGAGGGUGUUCCCACGGCUCUUCAACCAGGCCGGCUCUUCAGCCUACAUCCCCAUCUCAUCAAGUAAAAGGGAUUUUUCAACUGGACCAACCAGAUGGUUUAACAGUGCACUCCCACACCAUUCAACUACGCAAGGGAGAUACACUUAACAUAUGCAGUCGUAUAACACCUACUAACAUUUUCAAACAUUAAACCUUUAAAAAAGAGUUCUAAAGAAAUAGAAGCUUGAAGUAUCAUCUCUCAAGUAUAUAGACACUACUUCAUGGUGUGGUAAUAUAUGCAUAUAGAAGCUAGUAAACACCUCCAGGAGAUGCAAAAGGAAUUAGAACUGCCACAAGGUGCAAGCAAAACCUUGAGGUAAUCAAUCUGCAUCCCAUUUUGGAUGAGAAUAUUUGCAACUUUGAAGGUUAUUUUAAGGACAGCAGCAGAAGAAUUAUGGCAGCUCUUCACGGAAAAAAAAAUGGCAACAAUAAAAUCAGCAACUCCUGCCAAAUAAAUGGGCAUAAAAAAGAAAUCAUAGACUGCUGGCAAUGGUGGGGAAAAAGUUAUAAAAAUUGUCUCUGCACCAUCUUCCUUUUGUCCUCUAAAAUAUUCACAUUAGCAAAAGUAUAUAACAGCUGAUGAAGAAAUACUGAUAAUUUGUCUUUCUUCUUUAAAAUAUGAAGACUUCGAAGUUAUUUAUCCAAACCAACCUGAUCAUUUCUUAAGAGUGAAUAUACCUUGGAAGACGUGUCCUGCCUUUAGUAGCGUCACAAUGGAUUACAUCCUCUAUAAAGCAGUCUGGGGUGAGAAAAUCGAAUUUGGACACCGUUGAGGAGACUAUUGCAGUCAUCCAAGCUCAAGAUGGUGGAGCUUCAUCCUUGAGAAUAACCAAUGGGGAUAGAUUUAAGAGACACUUAGAGUCUGCAGCCAACAGGGCUGAAUGAGCAGAGAGUUAUGAUUCAGAAGAUCAUCUAAAAUUGAACAGCUGCCACUACUGGCAAUAAGUCUACUGCCAUUUGGUAGAUAACCUUCUUAUCACACAGAAAAAUAUCAGUACAGACAAAUAGACCGCAAAGAAAAUGAGACCAUCAGCAAAGAAGAUAAAGAAGUUUGUACAAAGCAACUUUUUAUAAAUGGAUGGCUGUCAGGCAAAAAUAAAUUUCCUGUGGACAAGACCAAGAGCAAGGCAAGAGGAAAAUAAACAUGUUUAAACU
Molecule: long non-coding RNA, 1398 nt
Organism: Homo sapiens (human)
Lineage: Eukaryota; Metazoa; Chordata; Mammalia; Primates; Hominidae
Product: long intergenic non-protein coding RNA 343
Source: Ensembl